Molecule: ribosomal RNA, 250 nt
Filed under: uncultured bacterium
Lineage: Bacteria
Description: partial 16S ribosomal RNA
Rfam family: Bacterial small subunit ribosomal RNA
Source: RNAcentral
UACGUAGGGGGCGAGCGUUGUCCGGAAUUAUUGGGCGUAAAGAGCGUGUAGGCGGUUCGGUAAGUCUGUCGUGAAAUCCUGGGGCUCAACCUCGGGCGUGCGAUGGAUACUGCCGGGCUAGAGGGUGGUAGAGGCGAGUGGAAUUCCCGGUGUAGCGGUGAAAUGCGCAGAUAUCGGGAGGAACACCAGUAGCGAAGGCGGCUCGCUGGGCCACACCUGACGCUGAGACGCGAAAGCUAGGGGAGCGAAC